Molecule: non-coding RNA, 26 nt
Filed under: Homo sapiens (human)
Lineage: Eukaryota; Metazoa; Chordata; Mammalia; Primates; Hominidae
Source: RNAcentral
UAAGGGAAGGUUCAGCUGCGUCUGCA